RNAcentral lists this unclassified non-coding RNA (315 nucleotides) under Hevea brasiliensis (rubber tree). The record is from RNAcentral. Lineage: Eukaryota; Viridiplantae; Streptophyta; Magnoliopsida; Malpighiales; Euphorbiaceae.
ACACCAUCGCCCCUACAGCCUACAUUACCACCCCAACAUCUUUUACAAAUGCUUCCAAUGUUUCAGUGGACAUAACUUUCACUGAGCCAUGUUGGAGCCAAGGUGGUUUCGGAUGUGCUUCCACGAAUUCUUGCAAUCUUCUCGUUUAUGGAGCUGGACAGGUCGUGCCAAACACACUCAAUGUUAUUGAGCCAGACCUCAAAUUUUCUGUUGUCGUGAGUCUGUCUACACGUGAUCAGUAUGGAAGAGUGAUCUUGGUAAUGGAUAAAAACUUCUGUUCGGACCCUGCUGGAAACAAAUUUAAAAGGACAGACA